AGAGUAAAAUGUGUUUGCUGUGGGUUUGUUACAAAUACAGGUGCAGCUGUCGCUUAGGAGUGCAUUUAGUUCCAGGAACAUAAACAGAAGUGUAUGAGAGUUGCUGCGUGCACAGAGCAGUUUGCAUAGAGAGCAAAUAUGGAAAUGCAGUUCUGAGGCAGUUGUUUGGGAUGAAGUAAUGUUCUGUCUUUUUUGGUAUUAUUUGGAAGUAUAUCUCAGUAAAUGCGCUCAGUGGCUUUCAAAAGAGUUUGAGCUUGUAUGUUUUAUCGACUGUCUUUAAUGCAUUAUCCUCACAAGCAGAUGCUGACCUUGCUUGGAAGGCUUUGUGGCACAAUCCUUAGGCUUGCAUUGAUACUUGUAGGAAUCUGUGGGGUUACAAGCAUCCUAUUCCAGUCUGGAUGUGGCCCUGAGCAGCCUGGUCUGGUGGUUGGUGACCCUGCCCAUGGCAGUGGGGUUGAAACUAGAUGAUCUGUGUGGUACUUUUCAACCCAGGCCAUUCUAUGAUUCUAUUCCACAUCCAGAGCUCUUACUUUUAUUGUAGUAAAGUGAAAACCUGGGGUGCUCCCUCCACGCUCCACUUGCAAGUGUUUUGGGAUGGUACUGUAAAACCCCAGAUGUGUUCUCAGCACUUACUGAUGAACUGGUGAUGCUGUCCCAGCAGAGUGCAUCCCAAACUGAGUUUUCUUUUAGUCAGCACUCUGGAAUGAAGCUAAUGUGUUGUCAGUGCAUACUCAAAUAUCUCAGGGCUCUAUUAAAUUUUGAUGUCUGUGGGUAGACAGCUUUCACGUACAUUCCUAAUAACACCAUAUACUUGCAGCUUUUGUGUGCUGUGACCUGAAUUUUUUUUGAAAAUUAAUGGACGUAGAAGCAGCCAGAUAUGCUAAUGUGGAGCUCUGUAAUUUGGGGGUGUGAACUGCAGAAAUAUCACUCUGUGUAUGUGUUUUUAAAAGAGAAAGUAAAUAGUAACAAAAGGACAAAACAGGUCCAAAAGUAAUAGAAAGAAGUUCACGUUGUAGGACGAAAUUUCAAAGCAAAGAUGUGUGAAAAGGCCUUAAAUAGGCAGUGGCUAUCAAAAGGAAAUGGGUGGAGAGCAAAAACCUAUGAGUUCAGAGGCUGAAGCAGCUUCUCUUAUGCUUUUUCCUGCUCUUAACAUUUCUUGAGCUAUUCUUCAUGUUAAAGCCCAAGCACUGAGCAGCCCUGUGUUGAGCCCUGUGGAUAAGAAGACCAAGUUUGCUUUUCUUUUCCUUUAAUACAUUUCAUCUCCCAGAGCAGCCAAGGCAGGAUUGCUUAUUCUUCUUGGAUGGUGGAAGCAAUGUCUGGUCAGUGUCUGGCUGACUGAACUUGGCUUUGAGCUCUGCUCAGUGCCCGCUGUCUGAUUGCUGAAGUAUUUCCUUUUAAAUUGCAGCUCUGUAUACCCAGUGCAGUGAAGCUGUCAGUCCGCUGUGUUCUGCGAGCACUGAAUGCUGAGAGGGGUCUGUCUGCAGGCUUUCUUCUGCUGAUUUAUUUGCAGAUUUGGGGAACGAGCACUUAUGUUUAGGUUGUGGUAUAAUCUAACUGAGCACUUCGUCCUGGGAGAAGGCACCAGUAAGUUACUUAAUCCUUUAUGCAAUUUUUAAAUGCCUGUCACAAGAAGGAAACAGUAACAGAAAUAAGCAUUAUUGUUGAAGUAAUGGUAGGAGGCCAACUUCAGAUGGCAGUUGUGUGAAAUUUCUUCUUUAAUGUAGGAUGUGGAGAGCUGAAUUGGUGACUGUCCACUGAUUCCAUCCUCAGCAGGAAAAAAUGUAGAGCUCUGUCAUUUUGCAUCAGAGCUUAACAUUAUCUUCAUGGAACCAGAGAAAGAAACUUGAUGCUUUCUUUUUCCUUCAUCCUUAAAAGCUUUGUCUGUUGCAAAAAUGCAAUUAAAUCUUCCAUAGCAGAGGCUUGUGGAGAUGAGCAGGGGUUAUUUACUUUCCUAGGGAUGAACUAGUUGUAGUGUGUAACAACAUAAGCUUGUUUUUGCUCUUGACGUCAACAGCAGAGUUGAAAGUUGGGAUGCAUAAUAGAUGCUAAGAGUAAGCGGCUGCUGAGUGGUUCCCUACCCCCUCCGACUGCAGCCUUGUUCUUUGUGACGCUGGGUUUCCUUUGCUCUCUCCAAGGCAC
Molecule: long non-coding RNA, 2139 nt
Filed under: Gallus gallus (chicken)
Lineage: Eukaryota; Metazoa; Chordata; Aves; Galliformes; Phasianidae
Description: long non-coding RNA NONGGAT007298
Source: RNAcentral